Rosa rugosa (rugosa rose) is the source of this 336-nucleotide long non-coding RNA. RefSeq lists it as uncharacterized. The record is from RefSeq and is a predicted model, not a curated record. The transcript has 4 exons. Lineage: Eukaryota; Viridiplantae; Streptophyta; Magnoliopsida; Rosales; Rosaceae.
AACAGCAGCAGCUGCAGCUCUCGCUCCCAACUUUACAAAACAAUCAAUUGAUUUGACGGUGAAGCUACAAAACUCUAGAAGUCAAUUCUCUUACUUUUCAGAUUCAUCAGACUUCACAACAAUCAGGGGUUCUGUUUGUGUUGGGGUUGGCACAAAAGCUUCGCUGCAGGAAUAGGAAGAUAUUGGUACAAAGCCUUUGCAUAAUCGGUCAUUUAAGGGGUUUUGUUUGUGUUGGGGUCUGACAUCUUACUGAUUGAUUGGAUUGGUUUGAGGUGAGACUUACUCUUGAAGAACCUAAAGCUGAAACCAGAGUCUUUGAAAAUCCAAUUUUGAAGG